Non-coding RNA from Pimephales promelas (fathead minnow), 1363 nucleotides. The record is from RefSeq and is a predicted model, not a curated record. NCBI's taxonomy places the organism in Eukaryota, Metazoa, Chordata, Actinopteri, Cypriniformes, Leuciscidae.
GGCGCCCCCCAUUGUGCUGCGCCCCUAUGCGCCGCAUAUAUCGCAUACCCACUUUUUGCGCCACUGACUGUGCAGAUAUCAUUUGAUAGUUUUAAUUCAUUUAUUUAAACGUUUCUCUUCAUAGUAUUUAAAUCUAGCACUGUUUGUCUAUGAUGUUCUCACAGUUAGUGUCAUGACAAGACCGCAUUUGAGGACAGCGGAAAAAACUAUUGUCACACUCAACCCACACAUCACUCAAACAUCUGAAAUAAGUCAUGAGAGAUCUCAAUAAUGUGUGACUAUAGAGCCCUGUACCUGUACAUGCCAUUUACAAUGACACGCAAUAUACCACACUCUGAGGUCUAAAAGAAUCCAUUUUGCAUGCAAACAUUUCCUACAUGUCCUCUAUUUCACCUCAAAUUUAAAUAAGAGCAAUAAGCGUCCCUUUAUUUGUUAUUUCUACUCUUUAUAAAAACAAAUUCCACUUUUAAAAAGCCUGGCUUGUCCAAAGAUGCAUUGGAUUUUUGAAGUAUAGCCCUUUAAAUAAAAGGGAAUUACUUCAGUUGCUACUAAAAGAGGCCCCAUGUGGGAGGGGUGGGACUUCCUCAAUUGCACAUGACUGGAAUAAUGAGGAACAUCUACAGUGACCUUGUUGUGUCAGCUACAGGAAGUUUAGUUUGCUCAAGGCACUUAGUGGAGGAUGCACGUUACCAGAUGGCCUGUCCACUCUCAGGAAGAAAUCCUCUGGUCUUAUGCAAUCUUUCUCACUCUCUUCCUGAUGCUGCCUCGGCACUCUCAGUCCUGUACAAUCUCUCUGCUAAAGCUCUAAGAUGGACACCAGAUGCUGAAACCUGAUGCUUCAGACGACCAAGCAGCCUGCUGAGGAUUGCUGUAUUUUUUUUUUAUCUUCCUUUGUUUACAUUGCUUAUUAAUUUGCAUGUUUUAGCCAAAUGUAGAGCAAGAUCUCAGAACAAUGGUCGAUUAUCCAGACACUUUUCCAGUUCCUGAUCUACAAUACUGCUUCUAAGUAAAUAUAUCCGAUGCAUGAACUUUUGAACUGUUUGACCGACAGUCAAACAGUUAAUAAAAAAACAGCAUGCUUCAAAGAACAUUUUAAAGCCUUUUAGGAGAACGUUUGGGGUGUAUGAUGCCUUUCUGGAAAUUCCAUUGCGAUCCUGUUUCUGAUUUAUGCUGUAAUCAUGCCAUUUGAAUCACUAAGUUAGUUAAGCGAACAACAGUUUUUUAAUUAGAAAACCAAUAAAAAAUACAUGUGGGAGAACUAUCUGCCCAAAGUAACACACAAAGAUGAAUGAAUGAGCACUCAUUCAUAACUAAAUACUUGUGAGUACUACUAUCUUUUCUUUAGAAAGCUUGAUUUAGAAAA